Molecule: ribosomal RNA, 1457 nt
Filed under: Salmonella enterica subsp. enterica serovar Typhimurium
Lineage: Bacteria; Pseudomonadati; Pseudomonadota; Gammaproteobacteria; Enterobacterales; Enterobacteriaceae
Description: partial 23S ribosomal RNA
Rfam family: Bacterial large subunit ribosomal RNA
Source: RNAcentral
CUUUGCUGAGGAUACGGUUAACGGAGCGAAAGCGACGUUCAACCGCAAAACAAGCAGAGGGGGCUUAGUGGUGGGGUGACUGCGUACCUUUUGUAUAAUGGGUCAGCGACUUAUAUUCUGUAGCAAGGUUAACCGUAUAGGGGAGCCGGAGGGAAACCGAGUCUUAAUUGGGCGUUAAGUUGCAGGGUAUAGACCCGAAACCCGGUGAUCUAGCCAUGGGCAGGUUGAAGGUUGGGUAACACUAACUGGAGGACCGAACCGACUAAUGUUGAAAAAUUAGCGGAUGACCUGUGGCUGGGGGUGAAAGGCCAAUCAAACCGGGAGAUAGCUGGUUCUCCCCGAAAGCUAUUUAGGUAGCGCCUCGUGAAUUCAUCUCCGGGGGUAGAGCACUGUUUCGGCUAGGGGGCCAUCCCGGCUUACCAACCCGAUGCAAACUGCGAAUACCGGAGAAUGUUAUCACGGGAGACACACGGCGGGUGCUAACGUCCGUCGUGAAGAGGGAAACAACCCAGACCGCCAGCUAAGGUCCCAAAGUCAUGGUUAAGUGGGAAACGAUGUGGGAAGGCCCAGACAGCCAGGAUGUUGGCUUAGAAGCAGCCAUCAUUUAAAGAAAGCGUAAUAGCUCACUGGUCGAGUCGGCCUGCGCGGAAGAUGUAACGGGGCUAAACCAUGCACCGAAGCUGCGGCAGCGAACGUAUCACCCAAGACAACUUUACGGAGUUGACGAUUGACGGAGCGAAGCGACGUCAAAGCGUUCAUUAAAGUCGAGUUGGCUUAGGGAUACGUUCGUUGGGUAGGGGAGCGUUCUGUAAGCCUGUGAAGGUGUGUCGUGAGGCAUGCUGGAGGUAUCAGAAGUGCGAAUGCUGACAUAAGUAACGAUAAAGCGGGUGAAAAGCCCGCUCGCCGGAAGACCAAGGGUUCCUGUCCAACGUUAAUCGGGGCAGGGUGAGUCGACCCCUAAGGCGAGGCCGAAAGGCGUAGUCGAUGGGAAACGGGUUAAUAUUCCCGUACUUGGUGUUACUGCGAAGGGGGGACGGAGAAGGCUAUGUUGGCCGGGCGACGGUUGUCCCGGUUUAAGCGUGUAGGUGUGUGUUCCAGGUAAAUCCGGUUCACUUUAACACUGAGGCGUGACGACGAGGCACUACGGUGCUGAAGCAACAAAUGCCCUGCUUCCAGGAAAAGCCUCUAAGCAUCAGGUAACACGAAAUCGUACCCCAAACCGACACAGGUGGUCAGGUAGAGAAUACCAAGGCGCUUGAGAGAACUCGGGUGAAGGAACUAGGCAAAAUGGUGCCGUAACUUCGGGAGAAGGCACGCUGACACGUAGGUGAAGUGAUUUACUCAUGGAGCUGAAGUCAGUCGAAGAUACCAGCUGGCUGCAACUGUUUAUUAAAAACACAGCACUGUGCAAACACGAAAGUGGACGUAUACGGUGUGACGCCUGCCCGGUGCCGGAA